This 315-nucleotide unclassified non-coding RNA is filed under the name plant metagenome. RNAcentral's name for it is "partial contains 5.8S ribosomal RNA, internal transcribed spacer 2, and large subunit ribosomal RNA". The stretch from base 1 to 105 matches the Rfam family "5.8S ribosomal RNA", at positions 50 to 154 of the family's 154-position model. The record is from RNAcentral.
AAAAUGCGAUAAGUAAUGUGAAUUGCAGAAUUCAGUGAAUCAUCGAAUCUUUGAACGCACAUUGCGCCCGCCAAUAUUCUGGCGGGCAUGCCUGUUCGAGCGUCAUUUCAACCCUCAAGCCCCCGGGUUUGGUGUUGGGGAUCGGGCUGCGGUUCUACCGCGUCCCGGCCCCGAAAUCUAGUGGCGGUCUCGCUGCAGCCUCCAUUGCGUAGUAGCUAACACCUCGCAACUGGAACGCGGCGCGGCCAAGCCGUUAAACCCCCAACUUCUGAAUGUUGACCUCGGAUCAGGUAGGAAUACCCGCUGAACUUAAGC